This 281-nucleotide long non-coding RNA is filed under the name Solanum tuberosum (potato). RNAcentral describes it as "long non-coding RNA (STUB_LNC000232)". Lineage: Eukaryota; Viridiplantae; Streptophyta; Magnoliopsida; Solanales; Solanaceae. The record is from RNAcentral.
ACCGCGAUUAGCCAUAUAAGUUCAGUUUUGGUCUCAUAGGAUGGUUGGUUCGGGUUUUGAGACUUUUAUUUUCAGUUUGUGUCGUUAAGCGUUUUAACUUUUAACUUUUGGCUAAAAUUUGAACUAGGUCAAUUUUUUUGGGAAACAUGUUCAAAUUUGAAUUCGUCAGCGCGGUUAGCUCUGGAAGGUAAUUUUUCGUCUUAUAGGAUGGUUGGUUUGGAUUUUGAGGUUUUCAUAUUCAGUUUGUACCGUUAGGCGUUUUAACUUUUAACUUUUGGCCA